RNAcentral lists this ribosomal RNA (385 nucleotides) under Rhizosolenia sp. RNAcentral describes it as "partial small subunit ribosomal RNA". It matches the Rfam family "Eukaryotic small subunit ribosomal RNA", at positions 587 to 975 of the family's 1831-position model. The record is from RNAcentral. Lineage: Eukaryota; Bacillariophyta; Coscinodiscophyceae; Rhizosoleniales; Rhizosoleniaceae.
AGCUCCAAUAGCGUAUAUUAAAGUUGUUGCAGUUAAAAAGCUCGUAGUUGAAUUUCUGGUUAGAAUAGUCGGUCUUGCACUCAGUGUAAGUACCAGACUCUUCUUCCCAUCUUUAGGGAGAACUCAUAUGGCAUUAAUUUGUUGUGUGAUGUAUCCUUAUCGUUUACUGUGAAAAAAUUAGAGUGUUCAAAGCAGGCUUAUGCCGUUGAAUAUAUUAGCAUGGAAUAAUAAGAUAGGACUAUGGUACUAUUUUGUUGGUUUGUGCACCAUGGUAAUGAUUAAAAGAAACAGUCAGGGGUAUUAGUAUUCCGUAGUCAGAGGUGAAAUUCUUGGAUUUGCGGAAGACUCACAACUGCGAAAGCAUUUACCAGGGAUGUUUUCAUUA